RNAcentral lists this ribosomal RNA (446 nucleotides) under uncultured bacterium. RNAcentral describes it as "partial 16S ribosomal RNA". It matches the Rfam family "Bacterial small subunit ribosomal RNA", at positions 329 to 792 of the family's 1533-position model. The record is from RNAcentral.
CGCCAGACUCCUACGGGAGGCAGCAGUGGGGAAUAUUGCACAAUGGGGGGAACCCUGAUGCAGCGACGCCGCGUGAGUGAAGAAGUAUUUCGGUAUGUAAAGCUCUAUCAGCAGGGACGAAGAUGACGGUACCUGCAGAAGAAGCCCCGGCUAACUACGUGCCAGCAGCCGCGGUAAUACGUAGGGGGCAAGCGUUAUCCGGAUUUACUGGGUGUAAAGGGAGCGUAGACGGCAGGGCAAGCCAGAAGUGAAAACGCAGAGCUUAACUUUGCGACUGCUUUUGGAACUGCCCAGCUAGAGUGCAGGAGAGGUAAGUGGAAUUCCUAGUGUAGCGGUGAAAUGCGUAGAUAUUAGGAGGAACACCAGUGGCGAAGGCGGCUUACUGGACGGCAACUGACGCUGAGGCUCGAAAGCGUGGGGAGCGAACAGGAUUAGAUACCCGCGUA